This 446-nucleotide small RNA is filed under the name Pongo abelii (Sumatran orangutan). Its description in RNAcentral is "processed transcript". Lineage: Eukaryota; Metazoa; Chordata; Mammalia; Primates; Hominidae. The record is from RNAcentral.
UUUUAGAGACAAGUUCUCACUGUUGCCCAGGCUGAAGUGUGGUGCUAUUUAUAGGCAUGAUCAUAGCUCUUUCCCAUGCAGGAAUGAAAGACAUGGAGGGGAAGAGGGGGUCCAGCUCCCUGAGUCCUGUGUCCACCAGCUGCUGCUAAAUACCUCUGAGAAACUCUGCUUCUAGCUAAGGGGACCUACUUCCCUUGGGAAUCUCAAUACUUGAAACAAGAACCUCCUGGAUGGACCCUUCGGCAAAAUGAAUUGGACCAACUGUAGGUUCCAGGACUGGAGAGCCAGCAAUGCCUCCCUGGUCAAUCCCACCCAAUUACUCUGCUCAGGAAAUGAGGUAACUGACAGACAGCCAAGGCAGCCCCUUAGGCAGCUUAGGCCUCCCCUGUGGAGCAUCCCUGCCGGGGACUCUGGCCAGCCUGAGUGACGCGAUCCAAAGAGCACUC